Molecule: ribosomal RNA, 427 nt
Filed under: uncultured bacterium
Lineage: Bacteria
Description: partial 16S ribosomal RNA
Rfam family: Bacterial small subunit ribosomal RNA
Source: RNAcentral
GUCGAGAAUCAUUCACAAUGGGCGAAAGCCUGAUGGUGUGACGCCGCGUGGGUGAAGAAAUCCUUCGGGAUGUAAAGCCCUGUUGUAUGGGAAGAGCGGAAGACGGUACCAUACGAGGAAGCCCCGGCAAACUACGUGCCAGCAGCCGCGGUAAUACGUAGGGGGCAAGCGUUGUCCGGAAUUACUGGGCGUAAAGCGCACGCAGGCUGAAUUAUAAGUCGGUAGUCAAAGGCGGAGGCUCAACCUCUGUAUAUCUAUCGAUACUGUAAAUCUGGAGUAUGUGAGAGGGAAGCGGAAUUCCCGGUGGAGCGGUGAAAUGCGUAGAUAUCGGGAGGAACACCAGUGGCGAAGGCGGCUUCCUGGCACAAUACUGACGCUCAUGUGCGAAAGCUAGGGCAGCGAACGGGAUUAGAAACCCGAGUAGUCC